This 74-nucleotide transfer RNA is filed under the name Bacteroidota bacterium. RNAcentral's name for it is "tRNA-Ile". It matches the Rfam family "tRNA". Rfam says of the family: Transfer RNA (tRNA) molecules are approximately 80 nucleotides in length. Their secondary structure includes four short double-helical elements and three loops (D, anti-codon, and T loops). The record is from RNAcentral. Lineage: Bacteria; Pseudomonadati; Bacteroidota. RNAcentral also lists the same sequence under 2 other names.
GGGCCCUUAGCUCAGUUGGUUAGAGCGGCGGACUCAUAAUCCGUUGGUCGCUGGUUCAAGUCCGGCAGGGCCCA